AUUGAACGCUGGCGGCAUGCCUUACACAUGCAAGUCGAACGGCAGCACGGGGCAACCUGGUGGCGAGUGGCGAACGGGUGAGUAAUGCAUCGGAACGUGCCAUUGAGUGGGGGAUAACGUAGCGAAAGUUACGCUAAUACCGCAUAUUCUGUGAGCAGGAAAGCAGGGGAUCGCAAGACCUUGCGCUCUGGGAGCGGCCGAUGUCGGAUUAGCUAGUUGGUGGGGUAAAGGCCUACCAAGGCGACGAUCCGGUAGCGGGUCUGAGAGGAUGAUCCGCCACACUGGGACUGAGACACGGCCCAGACUCCUACGGGAGGCAGCAGUGGGGAAUUUUGGACAAUGGGCGGAAGCCUGAUCCAGCCAUGCCGCGUGAGUGAAGAAGGCC
RNAcentral lists this ribosomal RNA (385 nucleotides) under uncultured bacterium. Its description in RNAcentral is "bacterial SSU rRNA". It matches the Rfam family "Bacterial small subunit ribosomal RNA", at positions 29 to 416 of the family's 1533-position model. The record is from RNAcentral.